This 468-nucleotide ribosomal RNA is filed under the name uncultured bacterium. RNAcentral's name for it is "partial 16S ribosomal RNA". It matches the Rfam family "Bacterial small subunit ribosomal RNA", at positions 28 to 507 of the family's 1533-position model. The record is from RNAcentral.
GACGAACGCUGGCGGCGUGCUUAACACAUGCAAGUCGAACGGAAAGACCCUGCUUUUGUGGGGUGCUCGAGUGGCGAACGGGUGAGUAACACGUGAGUAACCUGCCCUUGACUUUGGGAUAACUUCAGGAAACUGGGGCUAAUACCGGAUAGGAGCUCCUGCUGCAUGGUGGGGGUUGGAAAGUUUCGGCGGUUGGGGAUGGACUCGCGGCUUAUCAGCUUGUUGGUGGGGUAGUGGCUUACCAAGGCUUUGACGGGUAGCCGGCCUGAGAGGGUGACCGGCCACAUUGGGACUGAGAUACGGCCCAGACUCCUACGGGAGGCAGCAGUGGGGAAUAUUGCACAAUGGGCGGAAGCCUGAUGCAGCAACGCCGCGUGCGGGAUGACGGCCUUCGGGUUGUAAACCGCUUUCGCCUGUGACGAAGCGUGAGUGACGGUAAUGGGUGAAGAAGCACCGGCUAACUACGUG